This 125-nucleotide non-coding RNA is filed under the name Actinomyces sp. RNAcentral's name for it is "FMN sequence". It matches the Rfam family "FMN riboswitch aptamer (RFN element)". Rfam says of the family: The RFN element is a highly conserved domain that is found frequently in the 5'-untranslated regions of prokaryotic mRNAs that encode for flavin mononucleotide (FMN) biosynthesis and transport proteins. This element is a metabolite-dependent riboswitch that directly binds FMN in the absence of proteins. In Bacillus subtilis, the riboswitch most likely controls gene expression by causing premature transcription termination within the 5' untranslated region of the ribDEAHT operon and precluding access to the ribosome-binding site of ypaA mRNA. The record is from RNAcentral. RNAcentral also lists the same sequence under 1 other name. Lineage: Bacteria; Bacillati; Actinomycetota; Actinomycetes; Actinomycetales; Actinomycetaceae.
CGUGUACUUCGGGGUCGGUGUAAGUCCGAGCCGGCGGUGAUAGUCCGCGACCCGCAAUACCUAUUGCGGUUGAACUGGUGAAACUCCAGUACCGACAGUUAAAGCCUGGAUGGGAGAAGUAGUUG